Oryza sativa Japonica Group (Japanese rice) is the source of this 996-nucleotide long non-coding RNA. RefSeq lists it as uncharacterized. The record is from RefSeq and is a predicted model, not a curated record. Lineage: Eukaryota; Viridiplantae; Streptophyta; Magnoliopsida; Poales; Poaceae.
CUUCUCCUCCUCCCAGCUGCAUCGCCACACCCCAUUAUCCAUUCCUAAACUGAAGAAACCAAGAAGGAGAGCUCCAUCUCCCUUUUCCAUCUCAACCUCGCCGCCGGUCGUGAAGACGACGACCGCCUCCAGCGUCAUUAAGCCGCCGUCGUUUCCUCUUCUCUUGCGUUCCAUUAUCACCUCUCCUCGCCGAUUCCAGCCCUCUAAGUUUCAUCCCAUUUCAUGCAGUGGUUUGGUGGGAACUCAAACCUCGACGAUAAUGCUCUGGAGCGCGCACUGGACGCCGCCAUCGGGACAUCGUCUUCGUUGCUGUCGAACCGGAGCAAGCCGAGCCGAGCCACCGCAUCAUCAACAUCUCCUCGGUGUCCUCUCUUAAAUCCCUCAUGAACCCCAGCCAGUGGUGCAUCGAGCUUGGAGAUCGGCAUCGUCUUCCCCAAUUCCAGCCGUCAAGCUCCACCUUCGAUUUCUCCCUCUCCGAUCAUCAGCCAUAUCAAGCCGGCGACGUCAUUCCGAAGCUCCCCGCCGUCGCCGAGUCGUUCUGCUCGCGGUCACCGCUAUCUGGACCCUGCCAAGUUUCAUUGGACGCUCGGUUAUAAAUGCAAUGUGAAAGGGAAUGUCACGCCUAGAAAUUCAUGAACCAGAAUUUCAAGAAGAAUGUGUAUUAAAUCCCCUAUCCAGGACAAGCCAGGGUACACAAACAACAAAGUCGAAACUCAGAUCCACGUCUUACAAAUAAAUAAUGUCUUAAAUAUGCAGCGGAAAGUGGAAGCAUCAUUUGGGGAUUGCUCUACUUCAUCGCCUCAUCUUGACAAGUCUGAAAUGAUUAUCUCCUCUGAUCAAGAAGGUCUUAUCUCAUCAUCCAUCUCACCAACAUACAACUACAAGCAAGGUAAUGAAAUGGUGAAUAAGGUUGAUGAUUGUCCAACUCUCCCAUUGUACUCCAACAACACCGAUAAUGAAAUUGCUAUAUUUGAUUGUGUUGUUGACUCAUACAAA